RNAcentral lists this ribosomal RNA (533 nucleotides) under uncultured archaeon. Its description in RNAcentral is "bacterial SSU rRNA". It matches the Rfam family "Archaeal small subunit ribosomal RNA", at positions 1 to 542 of the family's 1478-position model. The record is from RNAcentral.
UUCCGGUUGAUCCUGCCGGACCCGACUGCUAUCAGAGUAGGACUAAGCCAUGCGAGUCAACGUAGCAAUACGUGGCAUACGGCUCAGUAACACGUAGUCAACAUGCCCAAAGGACGUGGAUAACCUCGGGAAACUGAGGAUAAACCGCGAUAGGUCAUGAUAUCUGGAAUGAUUCAUGGCUCAAAUCUACAUGGCCUUUGGAUUGGACUGCGUCCGAUCAGGCUGUUGGUGAGGUAAUGGCCCACCAAACCUGUAACCGGUACGGGCUUUGAGAGGAGGAGCCCGGAGAUGGGCACUGAGACAAGGGCCCAGGCCCUAUGGGGCGCAGCAGGCGCGAAACCUCUGCAAUAGGCGAAAGCUUGACAGGGUUACUCUGAGUGAUCUCCGAUAAGGAGAUCUUUUGGCAUCUCUAAAAAUGAUGCAGAAUAAGGGGUGGGCAAGUCUGGUGUCAGCCGCCGCGGUAAUACCAGCACCCCGAGUGGUCGGGACGAUUAUUGGGCCUAAAGCAUCCGUAGCCGGUUUCUGCAGUCUAC